RNAcentral lists this ribosomal RNA (443 nucleotides) under uncultured bacterium. RNAcentral's name for it is "partial 16S ribosomal RNA". It matches the Rfam family "Bacterial small subunit ribosomal RNA", at positions 338 to 795 of the family's 1533-position model. The record is from RNAcentral.
CCUACGGGAGGCAGCAGUGGGGAAUAUUGGACAAUGGGGGGAACCCUGAUCCAGCGACGCCGCGUGAGUGAAGAAGUAUUUCGGUAUGUAAAGCACUAUCAGCAGGGAAGAAAGAAAUGACGGUACCUGACUAAGAAGCCCCGGCUAACUACGUGCCAGCAGCCGCGGUAAUACGUAGGGGGCAAGCGUUAUCCGGAUUUACUGGGUGUAAAGGGAGCGUAGACGGCGAUGCAAGUCUGAAGUGAAAGGCGGGGGCCCAACCCCCGGACUGCUUUGGAAACUGUAUGGCUGGAGUGCAGGAGAGGUAAGUGGAAUUCCUAGUGUAGCGGUGAAAUGCGUAGAGAUUAGGAGGAACACCAGUGGCGAAGGCGGCCUGCUGGACGAUGACUGACGUUGAGGCUCGAAAGCGUGGGGAGCAAACAGGAUUAGAUACCCCAGUAGUC